This 429-nucleotide ribosomal RNA is filed under the name Gemmatimonadota bacterium. RNAcentral's name for it is "Gemmatimonadetes bacterium partial 16S ribosomal RNA". It matches the Rfam family "Bacterial small subunit ribosomal RNA", at positions 355 to 776 of the family's 1533-position model. The record is from RNAcentral. Lineage: Bacteria; Pseudomonadati; Gemmatimonadota.
UAGGGAAUCUUCGGCAAUGGACGAAAGUCUGACCGAGCAACGCCGCGUGAGUGAAGAAGGUUUUCGGAUCGUAAAACUCUGUUGUUAGAGAAGAACAAGGACGUUAGUAACUGAACGUCCCCUGACGGUAUCUAACCAGAAAGCCACGGCUAACUACGUGCCAGCAGCCGCGGUAAUACGUAGGUGGCAAGCGUUGUCCGGAUUUAUUGGGCGUAAAGCGAGCGCAGGCGGUUUCUUACGUCUGAUGUGAAAGCCCCCGGCUCCACCGGGUGGCGUCAUUUGAAACUGGGGGCCUUGAGUGCAGACGAGGAGAGUGGCAUUCCAUGUGUAGCGGUGAAAUGCGUAGAUAUAUGGAGGAACACCAGUGGCGAAGGCGGCUCUCUGGUCUGUAACUGAAGCUGAGGCUCGAAGGCGUGGGGAGCAAACAGG